This 479-nucleotide ribosomal RNA is filed under the name uncultured bacterium. Its description in RNAcentral is "partial 16S ribosomal RNA". It matches the Rfam family "Bacterial small subunit ribosomal RNA", at positions 28 to 507 of the family's 1533-position model. The record is from RNAcentral.
GAUGAACGCUAGCGGGAGGCCUAACACAUGCAAGCCGAGCGGUAGAGUUUCUUCGGAAACUUGAGAGCGGCGCACGGGUGCGUAACACGUGUGCAACCUACCUUUAUCUGGGGGAUAGCCUUUCGAAAGGAAGAUUAAUACCCCAUAAUAUAAUGAUUGGCAUCAAUUAUUAUUGAAAACUCCGGUGGAUAGAGAUGGGCACGCGCAAGAUUAGAUAGUUGGUGAGGUAACGGCUCACCAAGUCAAUGAUCUUUAGGGGUCCUGAGAGGGAGAUCCCCCACACUGGUACUGAGACACGGACCAGACUCCUACGGGAGGCAGCUGUGAGGAAUAGUAAACAAGGCGUGAGAGCCUGAUCCAGCCAUCCCGCGUGAAGGAUGACGGUCCUAGGGAUUGUAAACUUCUUUUGUACAGGGAUAAACCUACCCUCGUGAGGGUAGCUGAAGGUACUGUACGAAUAAGCACCGGCUAACUCCGUG